This 344-nucleotide non-coding RNA is filed under the name Cucumis melo (muskmelon). Its description in RNAcentral is "Bacterial large subunit ribosomal RNA". It matches the Rfam family "Bacterial large subunit ribosomal RNA", at positions 956 to 1290 of the family's 2925-position model. RNAcentral also lists the same sequence under 1 other name. The record is from Rfam by way of RNAcentral. Lineage: Eukaryota; Viridiplantae; Streptophyta; Magnoliopsida; Cucurbitales; Cucurbitaceae.
UCGUGUACCAAAUUUUAAAAAACAAUCAUUUAGAUUUUGGAGUGCUAAGAUCCAAAGUCUUGAGGGAAAUAGCCCAGAUCGUACACUAAGGUCCCCAAGCAAUCACUUAGUGGAAAAGGAAGUUCUCGAGCGAUGACAACCAAGAGGUGGGCUUGGAGGCAGCCAUCCUUUGAAGAAAGCAUAAUAGCUCACUAGUCUAACUCCAUGGCAUCGAAAAUGUCUCAGGGCUCAAGUGAUUCACCGGAGCGAUGAGACCUUGAAAGUAGCUUUUUCAAGUAUCAGUAGUGGACGUUUUGUCAAUCAGGGAAGGUUUUUGGUGACAAGAAUUGGAGAUAUCAUAAGUG